This 225-nucleotide ribosomal RNA is filed under the name Neobarya parasitica. RNAcentral's name for it is "5.8S ribosomal RNA". The stretch from base 3 to 156 matches the Rfam family "5.8S ribosomal RNA". From Rfam's summary of the family: 5.8S ribosomal RNA (5.8S rRNA) is a component of the large subunit of the eukaryotic ribosome. It is transcribed by RNA polymerase I as part of the 45S precursor that also contains 18S and 28S rRNA. Functionally, it is thought that 5.8S rRNA may be involved in ribosome translocation. Lineage: Eukaryota; Fungi; Ascomycota; Sordariomycetes; Hypocreales; Calcarisporiaceae. The record is from RNAcentral.
AAAACUUUCAACAACGGAUCUCUUGGUUCUGGCAUCGAUGAAGAACGCAGCGAAAUGCGAUACGUAAUGUGAAUUGCAGAAUCCAGUGAACCAUCGAAUCUUUGAACGCACAUUGCGCCCGCCAGUACUCUGGCGGGCAUGCCUGUCCGAGCGUCAUUUCAACCCUCAAGCCCUGCUUGGUGUUGGGGACCGGCGAUGACCUCUCCGCAGGGAGCGAAUCGCCGC